ACGUGCCGGCGGGGUCGCGUGUCGCCGGCUCGAAGCCGGCCACGGGCUGCUCGUCAGCCCGCCGGCGGGGUCGCGUCCCCCGGCGUGAGC
This 90-nucleotide transfer RNA is filed under the name Egicoccus halophilus. RNAcentral's name for it is "tRNA-Ser". Lineage: Bacteria; Bacillati; Actinomycetota; Nitriliruptoria; Egicoccales; Egicoccaceae. The record is from RNAcentral.